CGUUUCCUACGGGAGGCAGCAGUGAGGAAUAUUGGUCAAUGGCCGAGAGGCUGAACCAGCCAAGUCGCGUGAGGGAAGAAUGUCCUAUGGAUUGUAAACCUCUUUUGUCAGGGAGCAAAGUCACCCACGUGUGGGUGUUGGAGAGUAGCUGAAGAAAAAGCAUCGGCUAACUCCGUGCCAGCAGCCGCGGUAAUAAGGAGGAUGCGAGCGUUAUCCGGAUUUAUUGGGUUUAAAGGGUGCGUAGGCGGGUUAUCCAGUCAGCGGGAAAAUAGGGGA
Molecule: ribosomal RNA, 276 nt
Filed under: uncultured bacterium
Lineage: Bacteria
Description: partial 16S ribosomal RNA
Rfam family: Bacterial small subunit ribosomal RNA
Source: RNAcentral